This 483-nucleotide ribosomal RNA is filed under the name uncultured bacterium. RNAcentral describes it as "partial 16S ribosomal RNA". It matches the Rfam family "Bacterial small subunit ribosomal RNA", at positions 28 to 507 of the family's 1533-position model. The record is from RNAcentral.
GACGAACGCUGGCGGCGUGCUUAACACAUGCAAGUCGAACGCUGAAGCUCAGCUUUUGUUGGGUGGAUGAGUGGCGAACGGGUGAGUAACACGUGAGUAACCUGCCCCCUUCUUUGGGAUAACGCCCGGAAACGGGUGCUAAUACUGGAUAUUCACUGGUCUUCGCAUGGGGGUUGGUGGAAAGGGUUUUUCUGGUGGGGGAUGGGCUCGCGGCCUAUCAGCUUGUUGGUGGGGUGAUGGCCUACCAAGGCUUUGACGGGUAGCCGGCCUGAGAGGGUGACCGGGCACAUAGGGACUGAGAUACGGCCCAGACUCCUACGGGAGGCAGCAGUGGGGAAUAUUGCACAAUGGGCGCAAGCCUGAUGCCGCGACGCCGCGUGAGGGAUGGAGGCCUUCGGGUUGUGAACCUCUUUCGCUCAUGGUCAAGCCGCAACAAUGGUUGUGGUGAGGGUAGUGGGUAAAGAAGCGCCGGCUAACUACGUG